UUCCUCAUGGCCCAAUGGUCAAGGCGUCUGACUACGGUUAGUCACUUAAGGGUGAUGGAAAUCAGAAGAUUCCAGGUUCGAAUCCUGGUGGGGAAG
This is a transfer RNA of 96 nucleotides. It matches the Rfam family "tRNA". Rfam says of the family: Transfer RNA (tRNA) molecules are approximately 80 nucleotides in length. Their secondary structure includes four short double-helical elements and three loops (D, anti-codon, and T loops). The record is from Rfam.